RNAcentral lists this ribosomal RNA (423 nucleotides) under uncultured archaeon. RNAcentral describes it as "partial 16S ribosomal RNA". It matches the Rfam family "Archaeal small subunit ribosomal RNA", at positions 322 to 746 of the family's 1478-position model. The record is from RNAcentral.
CCUACGGGCUGCAGCAGGCGAGAAAACUUUGCAAUGUGCGAAAGCACGACAAGGUUAAUCCGAGUGGUUUCUGCUAAAGAAACCUUUUGUUAGUCCUAGAAACACUGAUGAAUAAGGGGUGGGCAAGUUCUGGUGUCAGCCGCCGCGGUAAAACCAGCACCUCAAGUGGUCAGGAUGAUUAUUGGGCCUAAAGCAUCCGUAGCCGGCUAUGUAAGUUUUCGGUUAAAUCUGUGCGCUUAACGUACAGGCUGCCGGGAAUACUGCAUAGCUAGGAAGUGGGAGAGGUAGACGGUACUCGGUAGGAAGGGGUAAAAUCCUUUGAUCUAUUGAUGACCACCUGUGGCGAAGGCGGUCUACCAGAACACGUUCGACGGUGAGGGAUGAAAGCUGGGGGAGCAAACCGGAUUAGAUACCCCUGUAGUC